Molecule: ribosomal RNA, 406 nt
Filed under: uncultured bacterium
Lineage: Bacteria
Description: partial 16S ribosomal RNA
Rfam family: Bacterial small subunit ribosomal RNA
Source: RNAcentral
AUUGAACGCUGGCGGCAGGCCUAACACAUGCAAGUCGAACGAGUGGCGGACGGGUGAGUAAUGUCUGGGAAACUGCCCGAUGGAGGGGGAUAACUACUGGAAACGGUAGCUAAUACCGCAUACCAUCGGAUGUGCCCAGAUGGGAUUAGCUAGUAGGUGGGGUAACGGCUCACCUAGGCGACGAUCCCUAGCUGGUAUGAGAGGAUGACCUGCCACAAUGAAAAGGAGCCACGUUCCAGACUCUUACGGGAGGCAGCAGUGGGGAAUAUUGCACAAUGGGAGCAAGCCUGAUGCAGCCAUGCCGCGUGUAUGAAGAAGGCCUUCGGGUUGUAAAGUACUUUCAGCGAGGAGGCGUUACUCGCAGAAGAAGCACCGGCUAACUCCGUGCCAGCAGCCGCGGUAAUUC